UACGUAGGGGGCAAGCGUUGUCCGGAUUUAUUGGGCGUAAAGAGCGUGUAGGCGGCCUGGUAGGUCAGCUGUGAAAACUCGAGGCUCAACCUCGAGACGCCGGUUGAAACCAUCAGGCUAGAGUCCGGAAGAGGAGAGUGGAAUUCCAGGUGUAGCGGUGAAAUGCGCAGAUAUCUGGAAGAACACCCGUGGCGAAGGCGGCUCUCUGGGACGGUACUGACGCUGAGACGCGAAAGCGUGGGGAGCGAACAGG
RNAcentral lists this ribosomal RNA (253 nucleotides) under uncultured bacterium. RNAcentral's name for it is "partial 16S ribosomal RNA". It matches the Rfam family "Bacterial small subunit ribosomal RNA", at positions 524 to 776 of the family's 1533-position model. The record is from RNAcentral.